RNAcentral lists this long non-coding RNA (1317 nucleotides) under Mytilus galloprovincialis (Mediterranean mussel). The record is from RNAcentral. Lineage: Eukaryota; Metazoa; Mollusca; Bivalvia; Mytilida; Mytilidae.
GUGUGUCAGAAAAAUACAUAAAAAGGCUGAGUUCUGCUAUCUUACUAAGAAAAUAAAUUACCUAAGAGAAAAUCCUAACUUGAAGUGAAUUUAGUCAGAAGACCUCUUUCUGACAUAUUUGUAUAUAGUUGUAACUGAUACCUCACCAGUUACAUAAAACAUGUUUAUUAUUAUUAGUUAUAUAUUCAGAGCCUUUUCUGAAUAACUAACAAUGAAAUACAGCUUAUACCAUACAUAAACUGUAUUGUUUAUUAUAAUUUCCAGACCUUUAGGAAAUUAUCCCUUACUUGUCAAAUGUUUUCCUAUUUAAUCCUAUUUAUUACAAAAUGACAAACGUUAACAGUAAACAUGAACUUCAAUGAACAAUUUCAAUAAUCCUAACUUUAAAAGAUAAACUAGAAAUAAAGCUUUAAAGAGUCCGCUAAAAUGAAAUAUUCCUUUUAAACUUUGAAAACGCUAACUUUACUAUUUUCCUUUACAAUUUAACCUUUAAAAAAAAUGAAGUUUCUAAGGAAAAUAAACCAUUUUGACUAAAAUAAAUAACGAGCAAAUAAAAAUACCAACUGUAAGAACCAAAAGUUUAAGCAGAACUGACGACCAAGCGUCGAAAUUACGUCAAUGUUGGAUUGUUGGAUUGUUGGAUGGUUGGAUGGUUGGAUCGCGCGCUUGCCGUCCAACCAAAUAUUUGAAUUCUUAAUAAAUUACAAAAAUCACAAUAAUAUACAAUUUAAGUAACCUUUAUAUAAUAAACAAAGUUUGCAUGGUACUAAACAAAUUUCUAUAGUAACUAAAAAUACAACAAUAUAUACAGCGCCACCGGAAGUCACAAUACGUAAACAACAUUGCGAAAAGUCAUGUGUGUCACCGGCGGACCAAAAUGUUAAAUAUCAAGGAAAGUGAGCAUUAACAUCUACAAAACAUUGAAGACGUUGACUACAAAUACUAAAAGGAAUUACAAGAAGUAUGUGAAAACAGUUGCCAACACGUAAAAAUAGUGUUUUUAUUGAACAAUCGUCCCAAGUGACACAUGGAUUCUACUGCGCAUGUCAAUACAUUUCAUUCAUAAAAUUCAAGCACAGGUGCGUGGAAUUUACUACGAUUUACUACGAUCUACUACAGUUGCUACAAUUGGAUCUUCACAAAAAUACAAGACAUACAGUUGGAUUAUUCAGUGGAUUAUUACUAUGAACUGGUAAAUUAUUACAUGAACUUCAACUGGUUUAUCAAAUAUAUACAAAUGACAGUAAUUCAAUAUUUCUACAAGAAUCAUAAUAUUGUAAUUGUUCUAACUUUACUUUAUUAAAUGUUAAUUAAAAC